UAGGGAAUCUUCCGCAAUGGACGAAAGUCUGACGGAGCAACGCCGCGUGAGUGAUGAAGGCUUUCGGGUCGUAAAACUCUGUUGUUAGGGAAGAACAAGUGCUAGUUGAAUAAGCUGGCACCUUGACGGUACCUAACCAGAAAGCCACGGCUAACUACGUGCCAGCAGCCGCGGUAAUACGUAGGUGGCAAGCGUUAUCCGGAAUUAUUGGGCGUAAAGCGCGCGCAGGUGGUUUCUUAAGUCUGAUGUGAAAGCCCACGGCUCAACCGUGGAGGGUCAUUGGAAACUGGGAGACUUGAGUGCAGAAGAGNAAAGUGGAAUUCCAUGUGUAGCGGUGAAAUGCGUAGAGAUAUGGAGGAACACCAGUGGCGAAGGCGACUUUCUGGUCUGUAACUGACACUGAGGCGCGAAAGCGUGGGGAGCAAACA
This 428-nucleotide ribosomal RNA is filed under the name uncultured bacterium. RNAcentral describes it as "bacterial SSU rRNA". It matches the Rfam family "Bacterial small subunit ribosomal RNA", at positions 355 to 774 of the family's 1533-position model. The record is from RNAcentral.